This is a long non-coding RNA of Nerophis lumbriciformis (worm pipefish), 501 nucleotides long. RefSeq lists it as uncharacterized. The record is from RefSeq and is a predicted model, not a curated record. Lineage: Eukaryota; Metazoa; Chordata; Actinopteri; Syngnathiformes; Syngnathidae.
UGUCGCAGAAGUGUGGCAGCCUCUGUCUGAUCGACGAUGGAGAGCCAGAUGUUGGGGAAGGAGGUGAGAUUGUAGCUGAGACCUUGACACAUCUCCACCUCUAUGGACUCACAUGCUGAAGCUGGUGGAAUGAAGAAAAUACUCAAGCCGUCACACAACCACUGCGGAUGAAGACACUCACCGGUGCUGCACGCAAACUGACUUGGACCACAUGUCCCUUUUAAGAAACAGCACAAGAAGAAUUCAUCGGAGUUCGCCUCAUCCUGUUGGUCCUGGCAGUUUGGAUGGCCGUCACACACCGACACAGGCAGCAGACAGCGGCCACUGUCACACAUGAACUCUUCUCUGGAGCAACUUUCUGAGAAACACAUAAAAAGGUAUUUGGCACAGGUGUACAUUAAAACACGUAUAUGUAGGGGAGAGCGGGGUUAGAUGUCCCAUUCGUCAUAUAACGGCGCAAGAUGGCACAGACUCUAGAAUUGUGGAAUGAAAAUGUACGCA